RNAcentral lists this ribosomal RNA (116 nucleotides) under Pteropus alecto (black flying fox). Lineage: Eukaryota; Metazoa; Chordata; Mammalia; Chiroptera; Pteropodidae. The record is from RNAcentral.
GUCUACGGCCAUGGCGCCCUGAAUAAGCCUGAUGUCUGAUCUCCAAAACUAAGCAGGAUCGGGCCUGCUUAGUAUUUGGAUGGGAGACCACCUAGGAAGAUGAGGUGCUGUAGGCA